This 496-nucleotide ribosomal RNA is filed under the name Xenocalamus michelli. Its description in RNAcentral is "partial 16S ribosomal RNA". It matches the Rfam family "Bacterial large subunit ribosomal RNA", at positions 1808 to 2608 of the family's 2925-position model. Lineage: Eukaryota; Metazoa; Chordata; Lepidosauria; Squamata; Lamprophiidae. The record is from RNAcentral.
CAAAAACAUAACCUUUAGCCAAAACAAGUAUUAAAGGCAACGCCUGCCCAGUGAAUAAUUAAACGGCCGCGGUACCCUAACCGUGCAAAGGUAGCGUAAUCACUUGUCUAUUAAUUGUAGACCCGUAUGAAAGGCAAAAUGAGGGCCUAACUGUCUCUUAUAAUAAAUCAAUUAAACUGAUCUCCCAGUCCAAAAGCUGGAAUACCAACAUAAGACCAGAAGACCCUGUGAAGCUUAAACUAAACUAUUAAAACACAUAAUAGCUCCUUUAGGUUGGGGCGACCUUGGAAAAAAAAAGAACUUCCAAAGGCUAACAAGCCGACCCAGUACAACUGAUAAUUGAACCAAGUUACUCCAGGGAUAACAGCGCUAUCUUCCUCAAGAGCCCAUAUCAAAAGGAAGGUUUACGACCUCGAUGUUGGAUCAGGACAUCCUAAUGGUGCAGCCGCUAUUAAGGGUUCGUUUGUUCAACGAUUAACAGUCCCACGUGAUCUGA